CCUACGGGAGGCAGCAGUGGGGAAUCUUCCGCAAUGGGCGAAAGCCUGACGGAGCACCGCCGCGUUAUCGAAUGAAGACCUUCGAGUUGUAAAGAUCUGUUGACAGGGACGAAUAAGCAAUGCAAAUAGCUUUGUGUAUGACGGUACCUGUUUAGAAAGCUCCGGCUAACUACGUGCCAGCAGCCGCGGUGAUACGUAGGGAGCAAGCGUUGUCCGGAAUUACUGGGCGUAAAGGCAGCGUAGGUGGGCGCUUCAGUCAGGUGUGAAAACUCCGGGCUCCAACUGGAGACUGCACUUGAAAGUGGGUGUCUUGAGGGCAGGAGAGGAAAGUGGAAUU
This 337-nucleotide ribosomal RNA is filed under the name uncultured bacterium. RNAcentral's name for it is "partial 16S ribosomal RNA". It matches the Rfam family "Bacterial small subunit ribosomal RNA", at positions 338 to 668 of the family's 1533-position model. The record is from RNAcentral.